CUCCUAAUAGCUCAAUUGGAUAGAGCACUAGCUUGCGGUGCUAGAGGCUAUAAGUUCGAAUCUUAUUUAGGAGG
Molecule: transfer RNA, 74 nt
Filed under: Mycoplasma suis str. Illinois
Lineage: Bacteria; Bacillati; Mycoplasmatota; Mollicutes; Mycoplasmatales; Mycoplasmataceae
Rfam family: tRNA
About the family: Transfer RNA (tRNA) molecules are approximately 80 nucleotides in length. Their secondary structure includes four short double-helical elements and three loops (D, anti-codon, and T loops).
Source: Rfam by way of RNAcentral